GACCGGCUGAAUGCGCGCGCAGCUCUUGCCGCGCGUGCGCAUUCAGCCGACGGGGCGGAGAAGAGGAGGAUCGGAGGAGGAGAGCUCUCCGCCCAGCGCUGGAAAAAGGUAAGUUUUUAUCCCUUUCCCCCUUCCAGAGCCGGGCGGGAGGGGGUCCCUGAGGGUGGGGACACCCUCAGGGCACUAUAGUGCCAGGAAAACGAGUAUGUUUUCC
Non-coding RNA from Pelobates cultripes (western spadefoot toad), 214 nucleotides. Lineage: Eukaryota; Metazoa; Chordata; Amphibia; Anura; Pelobatidae. The record is from the annotation of a GenBank genome assembly.